RNAcentral lists this ribosomal RNA (532 nucleotides) under uncultured Novosphingobium sp. RNAcentral's name for it is "bacterial SSU rRNA". It matches the Rfam family "Bacterial small subunit ribosomal RNA", at positions 84 to 651 of the family's 1533-position model. Lineage: Bacteria; Pseudomonadati; Pseudomonadota; Alphaproteobacteria; Sphingomonadales; Sphingomonadaceae. The record is from RNAcentral.
CUUUGGCCUUAGUGGCGCACGGGUGCGUAACGCGUGGGAAUCUGCCCUUUGCUUCGGAAUAACAGUUAGAAAUGACUGCUAAUACCGGAUGAUGUCUUCGGACCAAAGAUUUAUCGGCAAAGGAUGAGCCCGCGUAGGAUUAGGUAGUUGGUGGGGUAAAGGCCUACCAAGCCGACGAUCCUUAGCUGGUCUGAGAGGAUGAUCAGCCACACUGGGACUGAGACACGGCCCAGACUCCUACGGGAGGCAGCAGUGGGGAAUAUUGGACAAUGGGCGCAAGCCUGAUCCAGCAAUGCCGCGUGAGUGAUGAAGGCCUUCGGGUCGUAAAGCUCUUUUGCCCGGGAUGAUAAUGACAGUACCGGGAGAAUAAGCUCCGGCUAACUCCGUGCCAGCAGCCGCGGUAAUACGGAGGGAGCUAGCGUUGUUCGGAAUUACUGGGCGUAAAGCGCACGUAGGCGGUUACUCAAGUCAGAGGUGAAAGCCCGGGGCUCAACUCCGGAACUGCCUUUGAAACUAGGUGACUGGAAUCUUG